AGUGAACGCUGGCGGUAGGCCUAACACAUGCAAGUCGAACGGCAGCACAGUAAGAGCUUGCUCUUACGGGUGGCGAGUGGCGGACGGGUGAGGAAUACAUCGGAAUCUACUUUUUCGUGGGGAUAACGUAGGGAAACUUACGCUCAUACCGCAUACGACCUACGGGUGAAAGCAGGGGAUCUUCGGACCUUGCGCGAUUGAAUGAGCCGACGUCGGAUUAGCUAGUUGGCGGGGUAAAGGCCCACCAAGGCGACGAGCCGUAGCUGGUCGGAGAGGAGGAUCAGCCACACUAGAACUGAGACACGGUCCAGACUCCUAAGGGAGGCAGCAGUGGGGAAUAUUGGACAAUGGGCGCAAGCCUGAUCCAGCCAUACCGCGUGGGUGAAGAAGGCCUUCGGGUUGUAAAGCCCUUUUGUUGGGAAAGAAAAGCAGCAGGUUAAGACCCCGCUGUUCUGACGGUACCCAAAGAAUAAGCACCGGCUAACUUCGUG
This 491-nucleotide ribosomal RNA is filed under the name uncultured bacterium. Its description in RNAcentral is "partial 16S ribosomal RNA". It matches the Rfam family "Bacterial small subunit ribosomal RNA", at positions 29 to 507 of the family's 1533-position model. The record is from RNAcentral.